CAUUGAUCUAAUAGCUGAUUCUCGUCCGUUCUGUGAAAGAGCUUGAUUACCUUAACUGACCAGAAGUCAAAGGACAGGAGGGUAAUUAUCAAUAUAAAGCAGGUGACGAAGCUCUUGCUGAACCAGUCACAGAACAGGACCACCCACACUGGCUAGGCCCAGUUCUAAUGUGAGAAGAAGGUCAUGGAUGAAAACCUCAGCAACCACAGAGGCUUGAUCUGCAUCCUCUCCAGCAAACUCGCCAGCUUUUGCCCUGCUAAUGAAAGAGGCAAACCUGGAGAGAACAUCUGCUUUUGCACGUCGUUGGCCUGCGUGAUCAGUAUACAAUCUGGUCCUGGAAACUAGCCAACUGCCCAUCCAGCCCUUGAAAGUUGUUAAGCCAAAGCACGGAAUUAUAUAUGAUCAGGCCAGAGCACAAACUCUUCCUAAAAAUUAAUGAUUGAAGUAGUUAAUGAAGGUAAACAAACUUAGCAUCUCCUUUUAUGUAGUUGCAUACCGGCAUUCUGCUCUACUUAAAACAAAACUAGCAUAUGCUGUAACUCUCUCCGGACUUCCAACCAGUUUGUUGUAUAGGCCUGGAUUCCCUGCCUCUACUCUCUUUAUUUAAGUCAUCUGCUGAUAUCACGUGACCUAGGUACUGCACCCUGGUAUAAAAAAAAAUCAGAUUUACUAGGUAUUAUCUUUAGACUGACUUUCCCAGAACCUCAGGCAAGCACAUCAGAUGUUCCUGAAAACACGACCCAAAGACUUUGAUGUCAUCCAAUUCAAGUAGGACAUGCCUUGUGAUGAGACAUUUUGGCCUAGUCUUGAGGUGUGAUUUCAACCUGUCAAUAACCACUGGUCAAGAUGGAAACCCCCAAAGUACUGAAUUCAUAGACUUAAACCGAUUCUUCACAAUACCUCACCAUGCAGUUAAUGUAAAAAUGUUACAACUGGUAAUAGCAUAUAAAGAUAAUGUUUUGACAUAUACAUUACGUCUGCCAUUCCUUUCUUGGGUUCAGUAAAUUUGAAAAAUACCAUCUGAUAAAAUGUUCUCUCUGUCUUGGUAUUCUGCUAAACAAUAGACUGAAUGAAACCACACCAUAUCAGAUUUUCUUACAUACACACCUAUCAGUCAUAACACUAAUACCGUCCGCCAAUCAUGUUGGUCCCCUUCCUGCCAACCAGACAAGGCGUGGACUCUGAAGGUGUCCUGUGGUAUCUGGCACCAAGACGUUAGCAGCAGAUCCUUUAAGUCCUGUAAGAUGCGAGGUGAAGCUUCCAUGGAUCAGACUUGUUUGUCCAGUACAUCUGACAGAUGCUUGAUAAGACUGAGAUCUGAGAUAUUUGGAGACCAAGUAAACACCUUGGACUCUCUUAUGUACCUUAAACCAUUCCCAAACAAUUUUUGUAGUGUAGGAUGGCAUACUAUCCUGCUGAAAGAGGCCACUGCCAUGGGGGAAUACUGCUGCCAUGAAGGGGUGUACUUAGUCUGCAACAAUGUUUAGGGACUUUUCUUUCUCCUGGGUGCAAAAAGGUCAAACACUGGACACAGAAACACUUCUUUCUGGUAAUGUAUUCCUGGCAGUGACCUUCAGUCCCUCAAUGUCCCUCAAUUCGAUCCCUACCAAAACAAAUCAUAUUGGACCUCCAUACCAAAACAAUUAUGUUCCAGUUUUAGAAUCAUCAUUUUUGGAAUCAUCCCAAGUAUCCCCCGCCCCCCCCACUUUAAGGCAUACUUGGGUAAUCAAAGAAAAAAUAAUAGAGGACCCAGAGUUUCU
This is a long non-coding RNA of Brienomyrus brachyistius, 1760 nucleotides long. RefSeq lists it as uncharacterized. NCBI's taxonomy places the organism in Eukaryota, Metazoa, Chordata, Actinopteri, Osteoglossiformes, Mormyridae. The record is from RefSeq and is a predicted model, not a curated record. The transcript is spliced from 3 exons.